UGCGUUGUGCAAGAGAGGCAGGGAGCAGACCUUGUUAGCUGUUGGCAGGGUGGUUUUGUUGUUUGUUUGCCUUGCUUUGGUGGGGGAGGCAGGGGAGAAACGAGGAGUGUAUGUGAGGUUCAACCUUUUCUGGAGUCCCCAGGCCUAGACUGCUCCAAGGAUUUGGGAGGGCCCCUCGGCGGAGGCAGGCAGUUGGUUCUGCAGAGACCCUGCUGCUUCCAGCCUGUUGGCUCUGCCCCUCCCGGGUCACGGAAGCCCUGGCAAGGCUGCUGUGGUGCAGCAGGCCUGACAGCAUCGCUUCGGCUUCUCGGCCGAUUGUGGACCCGUGCCGGCGAUUGCCCGCACCCCUCUCCUUAGUCCCAUCUCCUCUGAGCUGAGAGGUUCUUUCUUCUACCUGAAAAGCCCCUGCUCCCCUAUAAACCAUAAAUGACUGAGUAGUUUCACUUCGGGAAGCAAAAGUUAUCAUGGAAAGUGCCUGCAGGCAAGUUCCUUCUGCUUUGAUAAGCCGUAGGUCCCCUGAGCAAGAAGGAAGUACCUGGAGACAGAGACAUCAGGCACAGAUAUGACACGGCCCAGGAGAAGAGAAUUGCUGCUGCUUUCACGGAUGGAGGGCACAUACCUGGCAGUGCUCUGGGGACCAUGUGGUGCCGAGGAUCAAACUCAGGCUCUCUGCAUGUGUGCCCUAUCUGGCCCCUGGAAUUAGAUCUUAUUUAAAAUUUUUUUCCCUUUUAUUUUUUUAAUUGAAUCACUAUGAGAUACACAAUUACAAAGUUGUUCAUGAUUGGGUUUUACUCCUACAAUGUUCCAACACUGUCCCUUCACCAGUGCACAUUUCCCUCCACCACUAUCCCCAGUUUCCUCCAGCCUGCCCCUGCCCCCAACUGCCACCUACCUUUUAUGGCAAGCAUUUUUCUUCUCUGCCUCUCUCUGUGUGUCUCUCUCUGUGUCUCUGUCUGUCUGUCUCUCUCUGUCUCUGUCUGUCUCUGUCUCUCUCUCCCUCUCUAUCUCUCUGUCUGUCUCUCUCCCUCUCUGAGUUUCAUCUUGAGCUAGGGCCCAUGUGCAUGACAACAUGACAGUGCUAAUGGGCGACAAAGCACACAUUGCUCGGUGUAGGUCCCUAGUCUUGGGCUGGUGGGGUUUGUGAGACCACUCUUUAGUUUGGGGCCACAAGAGGCAGCACUCAGCAUCUGCUCCUGGCUCUGUGCUCUGGGGAUCAUUUAGUGCUGGGGACUGUACCCAGGCCAGUGGCUUGCAAAGCUUGCCCUCAGCUCAUUGAUUCCCUCGCAGUACUCUGAGUCAGUUCUUAUGAUGUGGUAGCUGACGUCUCUGUUUCCACGGCCACCAACCAUCCGGGUUGCCUUUCAGGCACAUACGGGCCCACUCAACCAGUGUUUUCUGAAGUGGGUGAUUCUGCUCCCGGGUGGGGGUUCUGGACUGUGGGGGAGGCAGUAGUGGCCUAGGGUGCAAUGAGAUUCACUUUCUGUUCCCACAAAGUAGGCAGAGUCCCAGAGAGCCAUUGCAUGAUUUUCUUUUCCCCGCCUAAGAGGAAAGGCAGGCGAAAUAAAUAUGGGAACCUUUGAGAACUCAGAGCUCCUGGAAACAGAUGCUCAGAGUCUGGAAGCAGAGCUUCUUAGCUGCGACUGGCACAGGCAGAGGCACGAUUUCCCAAGGGUGGUACAGCCUGCUCAACCUUGCUUGGGGGACUUUGCGGUUAAUGUGGAGUCCAAGAGCAGAAACAGAGGAAAGGACGAGGAUGUUGGCCAUUUGCUUGGGAGAAGAUCUGGGAAAUAGGAAUGGGGAAAUGGGAAAGAAGAUCUGGACGGGAGAAGAGCCAGUACCACGACGAGAUGUUGGUGGGCACUGGUUGCCGUGGGCCACUGCCAGGGCCCCCCCAUCCUGUGAGGAAUCCACUGAGAAACCUGUACAGCAGCCUCAACUCUUCCCAGCCAAAGAGCCGGGAGGUGGGAGCAUUCACCCACUGACUUCUGGCCCCUCCAUGGCUUCUAAGUGGCUAGUGGGGACUUUUCAGGUUACGUCUUAGCUUGGCGCAUCCUGCACGUGGUACAUGGCUUCUCGAUUCCUGCCUCUCCUGAGCAAUGUGGCACUGAGCCUGAAAGCGGAAGUGAAGUGAGAUAUCUUUGCCACAACACAUUCUAGGAAAAAGGAACUGGAGGAGUCCACUUCUCCUGUGUCAUUCUAUUUCAUCUGCCUAGGAAGUCUCCAAUUAUUAUCAUCUCAUGCCAAAGCAAGGGACAGGGCAAAAAAAACCCAAGAAAACUCAAGCCAACUUUCUAGAAUCACUUCUGACACCCACUGGGCCAUGGAAGCAGAGCUGGAAGGGGUAAACUCUGUCCUUUGGAGGAUAAGACUCUCUCUUUGGCUUUUCCUGCGACAGCACCUCCUCCUCCAGGCAGGCUUCUCAGGAUUAUCUUGGUUUUUUGCCCUUCCUGCCUCUCUGAUCAGAAAUGGAAGCCAUUUCUGAUCAUACUCUCAGAGACUCAAACUCAAGAAUAUAGAGGAGACAAUAGCAAAAAGAAUUUUGGAAGCUGGAAACAGAUGGGUGAGUGGUAAUUGACUUAGCAGCCCGAAGAAAGCUGAAACCCAGAGAAAACUAAGGGCAGCAUUACUUUCAUGGAAAAUCCUAAAAAAGUGGGGGGUGGGUGGGGGAGAGGGAGGAAUUGGCAGUCUUCAAAACCUCUGGGAUGAACAAAUCAAAGUCAGGAGAACUGGGUGAAAGGUGAUCGGGAAGCAUUCAAGUCCUGGUUCUUCUCUCCCAUCCUCUAUGUUACAGGGCCCCUCUCCCUCCCCACCCCCCGCCCCCGGAAGAGGUCCUAGAGAGGCUAAAACAGAGGGUCUUGAACAGUGGGGACACCAGGCACAGCUGUGGACAGAGUUACCGUGUAUGGAACAGGGCAUUCCAAUGGGUGUUUACUCACUGCAGGCCGAGAUCCUCAGCUUUCUCCACCAUCCAUCCCCUCACUGGUAGCCACACCCAACCCUUUCUCUCUGGGAACUCGGUCUGAGAGCGCUAAAACUGAGAUCUCCAAAUAGAGACCACACAUUCCUCCUUCCAGUGAAUCCCUUAGUUGACAGAUGUAACUCACACACUCAGGACUUUCCAGAAGCUAGCUUUCAGGCCUCAGCUCUUUCAUUGUUGUUAGUUCAUGCCCUUUAUUCACACACGCGCGUGCGCGCACACACACACACACACACACACACAAUUAAUUGCUUGUCUUCUGGCUGGUAGAAACAAUAGGUCAGACAGCCUCUCUCACAGUGAUGUCUGUUCAAAGUGGUUGGUCAUCAAAACUCCAGCAUCACAUGCACAGGAAGGGCAUUCCCCGGUGAACGCAAUUGGUGAUGUCAUUCUCAUCCACAGGAACUUGAGAAGGAAAUGUAUCCCUCUCUUUAAGUUUUGGAGCCACACCUGGUAAUGCUCAGGGGUUAUUCCUGGCUCUGCCCUCCGGAAUCACUUCCUGGCGGUGCUCUGGGAACCAUAUGGGAUGCCGGGGAUUGAACCCGGGUCGACCACAUACAAGGCAAGUGCCUUACCUGCAAUCCUAUCUCUCCAGCCUUACCAUAAUUUCUCUUAUGCUUAUUCUUCUUGCAAGACUUCCUUUUCUUAGCCUCACCACGAAGUCUCAAAAGAAGAUGAAGAGUGGAUUCCUUUCGGAGUCUGUAGCCAAGGGACAUCCAUCUUCCAGUUGUUUGCCAGCCAAGAUCAGCCUUGGCUGAUCAGGAGGAAUUCCUUUCUUCUUCAGGAUUAUGGCCUCUACAUUUUCUACUGUGUCCACGGGGUCAACCGUCCCCAUCAGGGUUGUUCGUGGAAAUCUUCGUCUUGGCGGCGGUUUCGUGGCAGAUGGCGGAUCUGGACGCUCAACUUGUCAGAGUUACCAGCUCUUUGCUGAGAUGCACUGUCUUCAGUUCCCUGGAAAGGAAGAUCAAGAUGAGGAUUCAUGUGCACGUGACUUACUGAGGGUGGGUUCUUAGGAGAAGCCUUGCCCACUGCCCAUCCCCCAGGAGUUACAGGGGAAGGAGCUGAGCAAGGGCUGUGGUUUCAGCUGGAGCCUAGGCUCCGUCUGAUCCCACAGGGGACCCCCCCCACCGCCCCCCGCAUGAAUUGCCCCAUGGAGUUGAUGUGACUUUGAAGCCAAAGGGCUGCUUUGUACCCACAUAUAAAUCAGGUUGUGGGGUUGCCAGGGAGGGGCCCAGAGCCUUCCAGGCAGAGCAAGUCCUGGCCAAGGUCCACAGAGUUUCUUAAACUUUUCCAAUUACGACCCUUUUUCGCCCGAGACAUGCAACACGGGUGAGCGCUGCCAGGAACACGUCAGCUUCAUUGUAUGCUUGGUUUUGAAUUAAUUUUUGCUUGUUGCAUGCUCAGAAACUGUUCGCUGUUGCCAGUAUUUCCCCCCCCCCCGGAACCCCCAUAUUCAAUUCUUUGACCCCCUGUGGGGUUGUGACCCACAGUUUAAGAAGCUGGGGUCUACAGAAAGGGGUAACUCAGAGCCAUGACCAGGCAGCACUCAUAGCAGCUGUGCGUCUGUGAAGCCCAUCAGUAGCAUCUGCUCUGGAUUACCAGCUACGAGAGGAAAGCGGCAAACUAACACGGACAGUAGGGAAUGAUAAUGAAAAUCAAAAGUAAGCAAGCUAACAAUUAAACAGGAAAGGGGCCACGCAAUAGUACGGUGGAUAGGGGUCCUGCUUUACACACAGUCGACCUGGGUUCAAUCUCCGGAUAGCACCUCUGCUCCCCUGAGCCCACCAGGAACGAUCCUUGACUGCAGAGCCGGGAGUCAGUCCUGAGCACAGUCAGCUGUGACGCCCCAAACCAAAAAAUUUUCAAAAUGAAAAUUAAAAUCAACAGGAAAAAAGAAAAGCAACAUGAAAGACACUCAGACUUAUUUUUAAGCUUGAGAGAGGAUAUUUCACCCAUGGAACAGGAAUAAGUAAAAUUUUAAAACUCAAGAGACGGGUUGGAGGGCUGGUGCAGCAGGUAGGGCGCUUGGCCCUGCUUGGAUCCCCAGAACCUCAUGUAAUUCCCUGAGCAUUGCCAGGAAUAAUCCCUGAGUGCAGAGUCAGGAGUAACGGCUGAGCAUGGCUGGGUGUGCCCCCCAAACCAAAAUUAAAAACAAAAAACCCUCAGAAAACAAUAACCUUUUGAGGGGGGCUCCCGAGUAGUGCUCGGAGGUUCAGGGGUCCCACCAGUGAUUGCCAGCCAGUUGGGUUGUUGGUUUGAGGAUGUGCUCCUACUUGGGCCCUGGUGCUGGGGACAUCCGGCCCACCCCCCAGGGCCAUACCUAGCAGUGAUUAAGGGUCUCCAGUGCUGUUCCUGGCUUUGGCCAGAAACCAGGUGGUUCCAGGAAUGGGCACAUGCCAGGUACAUAUCCUAAGCACUGUAUUAUCUCCCAGUCCAACAAACAUUUUUAUUUGCUUAAUUUCAUUUGUUUCAUAAUAGUGAGAUUUUUGUUGAAAUAUUGAAUGUAAUCAAAGUAAAGUGAAAGUAAAGUGAAA
Long non-coding RNA from Sorex araneus (European shrew), 5511 nucleotides. RefSeq lists it as uncharacterized. Lineage: Eukaryota; Metazoa; Chordata; Mammalia; Eulipotyphla; Soricidae. The transcript is spliced from 3 exons. The record is from RefSeq and is a predicted model, not a curated record.